UGCCCCCGACUCUGGGAUAAGCCCGGGAAACUGGGUCUAAUACCGGAUAUUACCUUUGACCGCAGGUUGUUGGUGGAAAGAUUUAUCGGUGGGGGAUGGACUCGCGGCCUAUCAGCUUGUUGGUGAGGUAAUGGCUCACCAAGGCGACGACGGGUAGCCGGCCUGAGAGGGUGACCGGCCACACUGGGACUGAGACACGGCCCAGACUCCUACGGGAGGCAGCAGUGGGGAAUAUUGCACAAUGGGCGAAAGCCUGAUGCAGCGACGCCGCGUGAGGGAUGACGGCCUUCGGGUUGUAAACCUCUUUCAGUAGGGAAGAAGCGAAAGUGACGGUACCUGCAGAAGAAGCGCCGGCUAACUACGUGCCAGCAGCCGCGGUAAUACGUAGGGCGCAAGCGUUAUCCGGAUUUAUUGGGCGUAAAGAGCUCGUAGGCGGUUUGUCGCGUCUGCCGUGAAAGUCCGAGGCUCAACCUCGGAUCUGCGGUGGGUACGGGCAGACUAGAGUGAUGUAGGGGAGACUGGAAUUCCUGGUGUAGCGGUGAAAUGCGCAGAUAUCAGGAGGAACACCGAUGGCGAGGCAGGUCUCUGGGCAUUUACUGACGCUGAGGAGCGAAAGCAUGGGGAGCGAACAGGAUUAGAUACCCUGGGUAGUCCAUGCCGUAACGUUGGGCACUAGGUGUGGGGGACAUUCCACGUUUUCCGCGCCGUA
This 709-nucleotide ribosomal RNA is filed under the name Glutamicibacter arilaitensis. Its description in RNAcentral is "bacterial SSU rRNA". It matches the Rfam family "Bacterial small subunit ribosomal RNA", at positions 127 to 850 of the family's 1533-position model. Lineage: Bacteria; Bacillati; Actinomycetota; Actinomycetes; Micrococcales; Micrococcaceae. The record is from RNAcentral.